UACCCAGUGGCGGACGGGUGAGUAACGCGUGGGCAACCUGCCCCGUGCCGGGGGAUACCGCCUGGAAACAGGCGCUAAUACCGCAUAAGCGCAUACAGCCGCAUGGGUGUAUGCGGAAAGCUCCGGCGGCACAGGAUGGGCCCGCGCCCGAUUAGCCAGUUGGCGGGGUAACGGCCCACCAAAGCGACGAUCGGUAGCCGGCCUGAGAGGGCGGACGGCCACAUUGGGACUGAGACACGGCCCAAACUCCUACGGAAGGCAGCAG
Molecule: ribosomal RNA, 265 nt
Filed under: uncultured bacterium
Lineage: Bacteria
Description: partial 16S ribosomal RNA
Rfam family: Bacterial small subunit ribosomal RNA
Source: RNAcentral